Mesocricetus auratus (golden hamster) is the source of this 337-nucleotide non-coding RNA. The record is from Rfam. Lineage: Eukaryota; Metazoa; Chordata; Mammalia; Rodentia; Cricetidae.
GGAGUUCAGUUCGGUUUUUAGCUGUGGGUAUCUGCCUCUGCUUCCAUCAGCCACCGGAUGAGGGUUCCAGGAUGAUCUGGCUGGCUAAGCAGGUGUCCCCUUCCUCCCUCAUGGCUCCAUGUACGUCUGUCCCCAAGCUGCACGCUUCCCCGAGGAGAGGAGGACCUGUCUUCGGGUCAAGGGUAUAUGAGUAGCUGCGCUCCCCUGCUAGAACCUCCAAACAAGCUCUCGAGUUCCUUUCCCAUCGUUAUACCAUUACUUCUGUUUCUUUACUGUGGGAUGGAUGGGCAAACCUAACAUGUUGGAAGACCCAGAGUUUGGCGCUCUGGUUUAAAUC